UUUUAUUUGAGAGUUUGAUCCUGGCUCAGGAUGAACGCUGGCGGCGUGCCUAACACAUGCAAGUUGAGCGAUUUACUUCGGUAAAGAGCGGCGGACGGGUGAGUAACGCGUGGGUAACCUACCCUGUACACACGGAUAACAUACCGAAAGGUAUGCUAAUACGGGAUAAUAUAUUUGAGAGGCAUCUCUUGAAUAUCAAAGGUGAGCCAGUACAGGAUGGACCCGCGUCUGAUUAGCUAGUUGGUAAGGUAACGGCUUACCAAGGCGACGAUCAGUAGCCGACCUGAGAGGGUGAUCGGCCACAUUGGAACUGAGACACGGUCCAAACUCCUACGGGAGGCAGCAGUGGGGAAUAUUGCACAAUGGGCGAAAGCCUGAUGCAGCAACGCCGCGUGAGUGAUGAAGGCCUUCGGGUCGUAAAACUCUGUCCUCAAGGAAGAUAAUGACGGUACUUGAGGAGGAAGCCCCGGCUAACUACGUGCCAGC
RNAcentral lists this ribosomal RNA (486 nucleotides) under Clostridioides difficile. RNAcentral describes it as "bacterial SSU rRNA". It matches the Rfam family "Bacterial small subunit ribosomal RNA", at positions 1 to 512 of the family's 1533-position model. The record is from RNAcentral. Lineage: Bacteria; Bacillati; Bacillota; Clostridia; Peptostreptococcales; Peptostreptococcaceae.